GUAUAAUGAGAUCUCUGCUUCACAAGAGGAGAGGAAACAUGACACAGGAAUGUUCUCUAAGCUUCAAGCAGUGUUGCAGUGCUAGUAAAGCAGAUCGAUCAAGUUUCUUUGUUGUCAGUUAGUUUUGGUCCCAAUUGCCUUAUGUACAAGGUGAGACUUGUAAAACAGAAAUUAAAACUGAAGCAUUCCCAUACAAAUUAUAAACCUUAUGAUUUAGCGUUAAGCCUAAAACUAUUAAUGGAUAAACUUCCAAUGGCCAGGAAUGAUGGAAAACCUCCUUAGCAUUACCUGUUGUGUGUAUUCAUUUGGUAUUUAAUCCUCUCCUAUGCUUCCCUUUUUCACUGCCUUGGGUUACAAUAUUAAUAUUCUUUUAAUGAAGCUUGUCUGUGUGAAUUAAAUUAUACUUGGGUUCUGAAGAAUUUAGAUACUGUGUUUUUUCACAGUUUUUUUUUUGCCCUCCAGAUUACUUACUUUUCAUGAGAAAAAAAAUGCUUCAGCAAGGUGUUGCCACUGGCUCUCAGCUGCAUGAAGAAAAGCUUUCAGAGCAGCACUUGGAGCAUCCAAUUUAGAUAAGGAUAAGUUCUAUUUGGAAAACUUUGGAGAAUGCUAGGAUAAGAAGGUUAUCUGCUGACCAGCUGAAUGACAGUCAAGGAAAUGAGCUGUCCUCCUUCCUGGACGUUAGUUUAUGAGGUGGGGAAAUUCUUAAAGAUACAACAAACAACAGGAAGCCUGUCUGCAAACCUGAGGAUGUGCCUUCUUCCUUUUAUUCAAGCAAAACUCCUGUGAACUUCGGUGAGAGAAUUAAGUCCUGUUUGCUAGCUUCCCCAGUGUAAAUGCUCUCAGCAAAAGGAAGAAACAUGCAAAUUUCAGUCAGAGCAUCCUACCCAAGAUCUGCCUCCAGCCACAGUUUUUUUGCAUCACAGGACCUGAUUUGCAUACUAUCUUCUUUGGAAUACCAGAUAACCCCAAGACAUUUUUGGAAACAAAAGUGUGAAGGUCAUCCUGGACUGGAUUUCCCAGGAUCAAGCUAUCUGAAGAACUAUUGGUGCUAUAUAAUUCCCCAGAUUCAACAUGUUCUGUGUUUAGCUGCUGACAAAGUUAUCUUUUCCUCUCUUUCCGCAUUUGCUUUCUUCUGGGAUUCACUGCUAAAAAUUAGAAAGAGCAGAACUGAGUAAAGGAGCCAUCAGUGUUGGAUAAAUGCCCUGCAGUGGUCAAGAGGUGAAUCCCCUAAAGCAGGAAUUCCAGAUAUUAGACUUGUCUAGCACACAUUUCAGGAAAUGGUCUCAAAGGGAGAAGUGUUUUAUACAUGCCAUGGAUUUCCAGUAAAGAUUCUGCUUAUCAAUGUAUACUGAUUACAGGUCAGGGUGUUCCUCAGCAAUGCAACACCUGGCACCUACAGCCUUUUACAAAAGUAUAUAAACACACACAAUUUCAUACACACAGAGUUGUAAUUUUGUUUUUGUGUUAGAUUUCUGUUUCUAAAACACCCAUAUUAUCCUUUAAAAAAACUGUACCAAGCAUAUAUUGUUCUGAAUAAACUAUAAAUAGCAAAUUAUUCUAAUUGUUUU
Long non-coding RNA from Anser cygnoides (Swan goose), 1568 nucleotides. Lineage: Eukaryota; Metazoa; Chordata; Aves; Anseriformes; Anatidae. The record is from Ensembl.